UUUUGUGAUAAACGACGGUCGAGAUUAUUAUUGGGCUGAGGAUUAUUUUUAGAGAGAAAUGGUAUUUUCGUGGCAUUUGUUGGGGAUUUGUGAAAUUGAUACCGAGGAACUCACGUGACGACUAUCGUUUAUCAUUGACAGAAAGUUUGAUUUAUGUGAAUUUCGUAGUUUUUUAUAGCAACUCUUCGUUGUAAAGCGUUAUAAAAUUUUUGAGAUAUCCCAGAUGAAUUAUCAGAUACGUAUGAGACAUUAAAAAACUGUAUUGAUCAACUCCAUAAAUAAAAAAGUGGAGAAACAUAAUGAUACUACAAAUAAUUCUCUUAAAUUUACUUUGGAAUUUGGGAUUAUUUAUGACUCAUUUAUUUCCGAUAAAUAACCUCCAGAAAACAUACAACAUGGCACUGUAGCAUUGUUGAAGGAUCAUAUAUCAUGAUAACUGAGACGAAGUGUGAGUAAGUUUUCAACUUAGCAAUAACAUACCUACUUUAUUGCUUUAUUUCUUGUCUUUUGCUGUGUUUCAAGAACAGUGGGUAAUUGACAUUGGCUUAUAUUUUGGUAUCAAAAGUCAAGAGUGAACAUAGUAAAUAAAUUUUGUAAUUUCAUUUACAAGCCGUGUGAAAUCUGAAAAGCAUUGGUAUUCGACCAAUAAGAAUUAAAAAAU
Molecule: unclassified non-coding RNA, 661 nt
Filed under: Bombus terrestris (buff-tailed bumblebee)
Lineage: Eukaryota; Metazoa; Arthropoda; Insecta; Hymenoptera; Apidae
Description: misc RNA ENSBTSG00005021076.1
Source: RNAcentral